ACCAAUAAACUAUUCUAGAGAAAGAGGACUUGAACCCCAUCUAAGAGACCAAAACUCUUCGUAUAUCCUAUUAUACUUUACCCU
RNAcentral lists this transfer RNA (84 nucleotides) under Calotes calotes. RNAcentral describes it as "tRNA-Gln". Lineage: Eukaryota; Metazoa; Chordata; Lepidosauria; Squamata; Agamidae. The record is from RNAcentral.